Molecule: long non-coding RNA, 302 nt
Filed under: Elaeis guineensis (African oil palm)
Lineage: Eukaryota; Viridiplantae; Streptophyta; Magnoliopsida; Arecales; Arecaceae
Description: long non-coding RNA (EGUI_LNC019886)
Source: RNAcentral
GGGCGUGGAACAGUGAUAUCUCCACCAAAAGGACACACCUCUCAAAGAAUAACACAUCCCCAAUUAACAUAAUGCAAUUUGUUUAUAAGAAUUUUUUCAGGAAAAACUUCCUAACAAGCUUAGCAACGUGGUCGAGCAUAGUAUCAUGACAACCAUAAAUUAACUAAUAGUUAGGAAUCCAAAUGACGACAGCAGUAGCUAAGAUAACGCAGCCUGUGGAGAAGAGGUGGUCUUCUUUAAGAUUAAUUAUAAUCACACGGAUCAUGGAAGUUUAUAGGGUUAAUUGCGGAUAAAAUUGGUGU